Molecule: ribosomal RNA, 431 nt
Filed under: uncultured bacterium
Lineage: Bacteria
Description: partial 16S ribosomal RNA
Rfam family: Bacterial small subunit ribosomal RNA
Source: RNAcentral
AACGAACGCUGGCGGCAGGCUUAACACAUGCAAGUCGAACGCCCCGCAAGGGGAGUGGCAGACGGGUGAGUAACGCGUGGGAACAUACCCUUUCCUGCGGAAUAGCUCCGGGAAACUGGAAUUAAUACCGCAUACGCCCUACGGGGGAAAGAUUUAUCGGGGAAGGAUUGGCCCGCGUUGGAUUAGCUAGUUGGUGGGGUAAAGGCCUACCAAGGCGACGAUCCAUAGCUGGUCUGAGAGGAUGAUCAGCCACAUUGGGACUGAGACACGGCCCAAACUCCUACGGGAGGCAGCAGUGGGUAAUAUUGGACAAUGGGCGCAAUCCUGAUCCAGCCAUGCCGCGUGAGUGAUUAAGGCCUUAGGGUUGUAAAGCUCUUUCACCGAUGAAGAUAAUGACGGUAGUCGGAGAAGAAGCCCCGGCUAACUUCGUG